Molecule: long non-coding RNA, 457 nt
Organism: Mytilus trossulus (common blue mussel)
Lineage: Eukaryota; Metazoa; Mollusca; Bivalvia; Mytilida; Mytilidae
Exons: 2
Source: RefSeq, a predicted model, not a curated record
AUUACACUGAAUUUUAAACAAGUUAUAGCAAUCAACAAGUGCAUGUGUAUUAUAUGAAAGAAAUAAUCUGUAAAUUAACCUGUUGAAAUACACUGAUGUAACAAAAGGACGUAUGUAAGACAUUAACUAUAACUACACGGACACUUGAAGUCAAAUUAAAAAGAAAAACCUUAGAUUCUUUUUACAGAACCAUUGGAUAGGUGACAUUUCAAGAACCACUAUGCAUUCGAGAAAAAUCAAAUCCAGAACACAUCGUCAAAGCUCAACCGACGUACAUCACACAGGUACAGACCGGAGAGAAGACACAAUGGCCAACCGAAUUGGGCAAUACGUGAUCUACAUUUUGUACUUAGUUUUGAUAUUCAUUUUUUUGUUAUUGUUGCAUGUUUAUAUACGGUAACUUUGUCUAUGUUCAGGAUUAACACAGCGUUGUGUUGUAAAUAUAUUUAAGAAUUAA